GAUGAACGCUGGCGGCGUGCUUAACACAUGCAAGUCGAACGGGAAACCUUUUAUUGAAGCUUCGGCAGAUUUAGCUGGUUUCUAGUGGCGGACGGGUGAGUAACGCGUGGGUAACCUGCCUUAUACAGGGGGAUAACAACCAGAAAUGGUUGCUAAUACCGCAUAAGCGCACAGGACCGCAUGGUCCGGUGUGAAAAACUCCGGUGGUAUAAGAUGGACCCGCGUUGGAUUAGCUAGUUGGCAGGGUAACGGCCUACCAAGGCGACGAUCCAUAGCCGGCCGGAGAGGGUGAACGGCCACAUUGGGACUGAGACACGGCCCAGACUCCUACGGGAGGCAGCAGUGGGGAAUAUUGCACAAUGGGGGAAACCCUGAUGCAGCGACGCAGCGUGAAGGAAGAAGUAUCUCGGUAUGUAAACUUCUAUCAGCAGGGAAGAUAGUGACGGUACCUGACUAAGAAGCCCCGGCUAACUACGUG
RNAcentral lists this ribosomal RNA (478 nucleotides) under uncultured bacterium. RNAcentral describes it as "partial 16S ribosomal RNA". It matches the Rfam family "Bacterial small subunit ribosomal RNA", at positions 28 to 507 of the family's 1533-position model. The record is from RNAcentral.